UGGGGAAUUUUGGACAAUGGGCGAAAGCCUGAUCCAGCAAUGCCGCGUGUGUGAAGAAGGCCUUCGGGUUGUAAAGCACUUUUGUCCGGAAAGAAAUCCUUGGCUCUAAUACAGUCGGGGGAUGACGGUACCGGAAGAAUAAGCACCGGCUAACUACGUGCCAGCAGCCGCGGUAAUACGUAGGGUGCAAGCGUUAAUCGGAAUUACUGGGCGUAAAGCGUGCGCAGGCGGUUUGCUAAGACCGAUGUGAGAUCCCCGGGCUCAACCUGGGAACUGCAUUGGUGACUGGCAGGCUAGAGUAUGGCAGAGGGGGGUAGAAUUCCACGUGUAGCAGUGAAAUGCGUAGAGAUGUGGAGGAAUACCGAUGGCGAAGGCAGCCCCCUGGGCCAAUACUGACGCUCAUGCACGAAAGCGUGGGGAGCAAACAGGAUUAGAUACCCUGGUAGUCCACGCCCCUAAACGAUGUCAACUAGUUGUUGGGGAUUCAUUUCCUUAGUAACGUAGCUAACGCGUGAAGUUGACCGCCUGGGGAGUACGGUCGCAAGAUU
Molecule: ribosomal RNA, 548 nt
Filed under: uncultured bacterium
Lineage: Bacteria
Description: partial 16S ribosomal RNA
Rfam family: Bacterial small subunit ribosomal RNA
Source: RNAcentral